Molecule: long non-coding RNA, 558 nt
Organism: Cucurbita maxima (winter squash)
Lineage: Eukaryota; Viridiplantae; Streptophyta; Magnoliopsida; Cucurbitales; Cucurbitaceae
Exons: 3
Source: RefSeq, a predicted model, not a curated record
CAAAGCCACGUGCAAGUUGAGAAAGAGUGAUAUGUAGAGAAAGAGGGAGCUUCCUCGGAGUACAACGUCGGCGACGCUUCAAUUUGGUUUACAUGCUUAACAGAGGACGAGAAGUGCUGCAAAAGUAACCAUCGAUGACCUCAAGUACACAGAAGGUGCACUUGAGGUCUUUGGACGCCAUGAAAGUGGAAGAGAAGCCAAGAGGAAGGUCUCGAAAGUCGUAAUUCGAACAGAGGACCAAUGAAAACUAGCGUCGGAGAACGUCAAGAAGAGAGAAAAUGAAUGAGAAAUCGUGAGCUUUCCAUGUAUCGGGCACCCUAUCUCUCCCCUUCCUCUGGCCCCAUCUUGGUUCCUGGGUUGUCUUUCAGUACGUCGCGGAGCGUACCUCUCAACAUGUUUAAGGGGAGGGCGGUUGACAUAAUGAAGUCAAAGCACUGGUGGCUAAUGGUCUGAGUUCUUCAAGUGAUAUGACUGUUUGCGUCUCACUGUAACUAUUUGCUCUCGGCGCACCUAAUCUUUAGGCUAGUGUUUCGAUUUAAAGUCCGUAUGUACAAUGUU